GACGAACGCUGGCGGCGUGCUUAACACAUGCAAGUCGAACGGAAAGGCCCUGCUUUUGUGGGGUGCUCGAGUGGCGAACGGGUGAGUAACACGUGAGUAACCUGCCCUUGACUUUGGGAUAACUUCAGGAAGCUGGGGCUAAUACCGGAUAGGAGCUCCUGCUACAUGGUGGGGGUUGGAAAGUUUCGGCGGUUGGGGAUGGACUCGCGGCUUAUCAGCUUGUUGGUGGGGUAGUGGCUUACCAAGGCUUUGACGGGUAGCCGGCCUGAGAGGGUGACCGGCCACAUUGGGACUGAGAUACGGCCCAGACUCCUACGGGAGGCAGCAGUGGGGAAUAUUGCACAAUGGGCGGAAGCCUGAUGCAGCAACGCCGCGUGCGGGAUGACGGCCUUCGGGUUGUAAACCGCUUUCGCCUGUGACGAAGCGUGAGUGACGGUAAUGGGUAAAGAAGCACCGGCUAACUACGUG
RNAcentral lists this ribosomal RNA (468 nucleotides) under uncultured bacterium. RNAcentral's name for it is "partial 16S ribosomal RNA". It matches the Rfam family "Bacterial small subunit ribosomal RNA", at positions 28 to 507 of the family's 1533-position model. The record is from RNAcentral.